Molecule: ribosomal RNA, 744 nt
Filed under: uncultured bacterium
Lineage: Bacteria
Description: bacterial SSU rRNA
Rfam family: Bacterial small subunit ribosomal RNA
Source: RNAcentral
GCACGGGAGCAGCAAUGCUCUAGUGGCGCAAGGGUGAGUAAUGUAUCGCUAACGUACCCUGGACGCUGGGAUAGCUGCCCGAAAGGGCAGGUAAUACCAGAUGAAAUAUCCGGCCCGCAUGGGUUGGAUCUCAAAGGAGCAAUCCGGUCUGGGCGCGGGCGAUAUCGUAUCAGCUAGUUGGUGAGGUAACGGCUCACCAAGGCGACGACGCGUAGCCGGACUGAGAGGUCGGUCGGCCACAUCGGGACUGAGACACUGCCCGGACUCCUACGGGGGGCUGCAGUAACGAAUCUUCCCCAAUGGGCGCAAGCCUGAGGGAGCGACGCCGCGUGGAGGAUGAAGUCCUUCGGGAUGUAAACUCCUGUCAGGGGUUACCAAGUUCUGAGGAGCCCCAAAGGAAGAGGCGGCUAACUCUGUGCCAGCAGCCGCGGUAAGACAGAGGCCUCAAGCGUUAGGCGGAAUCACUGGGCUUAAAGCGUGUGUAGGCGGAUCGUUAAGUGCCUUGUGAAAUCCCACGGCUUAACUGUGGAACGGCUGGGCAUACUGGCGGUCUUGAGCCAUCUAGGGGCGACUGGAACAAACGGUGGAGCGGUGAAAUGCGUAGAUAUCGUUUGGAACGCCAAUGGUGAAAACAGGUCGCUGGGGAUGCGCUGACGCUGAGACACGAAAGCCAGGGGAGCAAACGGGAUUAGAUACCCCGGUAGUCCUGGCCCUAAACGAUGUCCACUAGAUCAUGGUUCCUCU